Non-coding RNA from Python bivittatus (Burmese python), 434 nucleotides. The record is from RefSeq and is a predicted model, not a curated record. Lineage: Eukaryota; Metazoa; Chordata; Lepidosauria; Squamata; Pythonidae.
UUAAGUAUUAAGCAGCAAUACCAACUUUUUUUUCCAUUUUAAACAGCCUCUGCACCUUGAGGACAUGUUAGCCACCAAAAAGACACUGACAGCAGAGGAGGAAGAAGCUGUGGUGGAAGAGGAACUGCCACCAAUACUGCCAACUGCCAGUUAAGGGAGUGGCUGAAGUGUAGCUUCAUCAAGUGGGAGAAUGGACAUUUCUGGGUUAUUCCAAGACCCAGAUUUUAAUUUCAGGCAGAAGAAUUAUGGAGUCCUAAUGUUCAUCUUAUAUCUGAAGCAGGACUUCAUGGAAAUCUCCAUUACAUUGAUUCACAAUGUCUCUUGAUGUUUCAAAAAGUAUCCAAGAAGCCAUUUAAGGAUCCAUUACAUAUUAAACACCAAGGAGGAGGAGGAGAAGAGGAAGAGGAAGAGGAAGAGGAAGAGGAAGAAGAGGA